This 489-nucleotide ribosomal RNA is filed under the name uncultured bacterium. RNAcentral describes it as "bacterial SSU rRNA". It matches the Rfam family "Bacterial small subunit ribosomal RNA", at positions 233 to 717 of the family's 1533-position model. The record is from RNAcentral.
GCGGCCCAUCAGCUAGUUGGUGAGGUAAGAGCUCACCAAGGCGAAGACGGGUAGCUGGUCUGAGAGGAUGAUCAGCCACACUGGAACUGAGACACGGUCCAGACUCCUACGGGAGGCAGCAGUGGGGAAUAUUGCGCAAUGGGCGAAAAGCCUGACGCAGCCACGCCGCGUGAGCGAUGAAGGCCUUCGGGUCGUAAAGCUCUGUGGGGAGAGAAGAAUAAAGCCUGUGAAGAAUGGGCCUUGACGGUAUCUCCUUAGCAAGCACCGGCUAACUCCGUGCCAGCAGCCGCGGUAAUACGGAGGGUGCAAACGUUGCUCGGAAUCAUUGGGCGUAAAGCGCACGUAGGCGGCGAAGCAAGUCGGGUGUGAAAGCCCUGGGCUCAACCCAGGAAGUGCAUUCGAAACUAUUUCGCUUGAAUCUCGGAGGGGGUCAGAGAAUUCCCGGUGUAGAGGUGAAAUUCGUAGAUAUCGGGAGGAAUACCAGUGGCG